Molecule: long non-coding RNA, 627 nt
Organism: Camelus dromedarius (Arabian camel)
Lineage: Eukaryota; Metazoa; Chordata; Mammalia; Artiodactyla; Camelidae
Exons: 4
Source: RefSeq, a predicted model, not a curated record
CAUCACUUAGAAAACAGGUUGUUUUUCUAGGAUGACCUGAAGAGAUUUAUUGACUUCAUGGAAGUUGGAGGAGAGUGUUUAACUUCAUUCAAAAUGGCGGCUGCUGGUUGUUGCUACCAAUAAUGAGGACUCAGAGCCCUAAGUUCAAAGACUUUCUCCCCUGCAUGUUUCUUGGGCACCAGGCUUCCUGUGGUGGUUGCUGGUGGCUGUAGGGAGAGCUGUGCAGGUCCCUGCUUUAUUGGAAGUCUCACACCGGCUGACAGCAAGGCCAGGAAAGGGACAUCCACGCAGAAGAUGUGAGAGCCCAGGUUCUGGAGGCCGGGAAGUCCAAGAUCAAGGUGGCAGCAGAUGUGUUAUCCGGACAUGCUGAAUUCCAGCAGCCACGUUAAGGAUACGCCGGGAUGAGCCUGAGAACAAGCUGGGGAUGACAGAGCAGAAAAGUGGACAGAACCUGGGUCCUUGAGACACAUCUUUGAGCCAUUGAAUUAAUCACCUCUGGAACCUCCUUACUUCUAAAAUUUUAAUGAGAGAACUUCUUCAUUCCAAAAGGAAAUGCAGUAGCCAUUAAAAAAUAUCUGCUCAUUCCUCCUUUCCUGCAGCUCCUUUCAGUCUCUAUGAAUUUGACUA